This 502-nucleotide ribosomal RNA is filed under the name uncultured Glomeromycotina. Its description in RNAcentral is "SSU rRNA". It matches the Rfam family "Eukaryotic small subunit ribosomal RNA", at positions 569 to 1078 of the family's 1831-position model. Lineage: Eukaryota; Fungi; Glomeromycota. The record is from RNAcentral.
AGCAGCCGCGGUAAUUCCAGCUCCAAUAGCGUAUAUUAAAGUUGUUGCAGUUAAAAAGCUCGUAGUUGAAUUUCGGGAUCAAUAUAUCGGUCGUGCCUCCGGUAUGCACUGGUAUUAUUGAUUUCUACCUUCUGACGAAUCAUGAUGUCAUUAAUUUGGUGUCAUGGGGAAUCAGGACUGUUACUUUGAAAAAUUAGAGUGUUUAAAGCAGGCACACGCUUGAAUACAUUAGCAUGGAAUAAUGAAAUAGGACGUUUGACCCUAUUUUGUUGGUUUCUAGGAUCGACGUAAUGAUUAAUAGGGAUAGUUGGGGGCAUUAGUAUUCAAUUGUCAGAGGUGAAAUUCUUGGAUUUAUUGAAGACUAACUACUGCGAAAGCAUUUGCCAAGGAUGUUUUCAUUAAUCAAGAACGAAAGUUAGGGGAUCGAAGACGAUCAGAUACCGUUGUAGUCUUAACCAUAAACUAUGCCGACUAGGGAUCGGAUGAUGUUAAUUUUAAUGUA